This 87-nucleotide transfer RNA is filed under the name Melioribacteraceae bacterium. Its description in RNAcentral is "tRNA-Ser". It matches the Rfam family "tRNA". From Rfam's summary of the family: Transfer RNA (tRNA) molecules are approximately 80 nucleotides in length. Lineage: Bacteria; Pseudomonadati; Ignavibacteriota; Ignavibacteria; Ignavibacteriales; Melioribacteraceae. The record is from RNAcentral.
GGAGAGGUGGGUGAGUGGCUGAAACCACCGGUUUGCUAAACCGACGUACCCGUAAGGGUACCGCGGGUUCGAAUCCCGCCCUCUCCG